Non-coding RNA from Enterovibrio nigricans DSM 22720, 68 nucleotides. The record is from Rfam. NCBI's taxonomy places the organism in Bacteria, Pseudomonadati, Pseudomonadota, Gammaproteobacteria, Vibrionales, Vibrionaceae.
CCAUCUGUAUCACCAGAUGACCCUAGGAUCCUGAAUAAAGCAGCGGAUCCGACAAUGUAACGAAGUCC